RNAcentral lists this ribosomal RNA (492 nucleotides) under uncultured bacterium. Its description in RNAcentral is "partial 16S ribosomal RNA". It matches the Rfam family "Bacterial small subunit ribosomal RNA", at positions 29 to 507 of the family's 1533-position model. The record is from RNAcentral.
AGUGAACGCUGGCGGUAGGCCUAACACAUGCAAGUCGAACGGCAGCACAGUAAGAGCUUGCUCUUACGGGUGGCGAGUGGCGGACGGGUGAGGAAUACAUCGGAAUCUACUUUUUCGUGGGGGAUAACGUAGGGAAACUUACGCUAAUACCGCAUACGACCUACGGGUGAAAGCAGGGGAUCUUCGGACCUUGCGCGAUUGAAUGAGCCGAUGUCGGAUUAGCUAGUUGGCGGGGUAAAGGCCCACCAAGGCGACGAUCCGUAGCUGGUCUGAGAGGAUGAUCAGCCACACUGGAACUGAGACACGGUCCAGACUCCUGCGGGAGGCAGCAGUGGGGAAUAUUGGACAAUGGGCGCAAGCCUGAUCCAGCCAUACCGCGUGGGUGAAGAAGGCCUUCGGGUUAUAAAGCCCUUUUGUUGGGAAAGAAAAGCAGCAGGUUAAUACCCCGCUGUUCUGACGGUACCCAAAGAAUAAGCACCGGCUAACUUCGUG